CUAAACUAUCUAGAUUUCUAGAUAACGUCAUGGACUUAAGAGAAUGUAACAUGAGGAACCCUGCACAGCAUUGCUGCAAGCUGUCAACAGCGGGAGGGAGGAAUUUGACAGUGAUCCUGCAAAGUAUAAGUGGAGGGCUGAAUGUGCAAUAUCUAUAAAGGAGUAAUUCUCCAUGUAGUCUGCAUUGCCAAUGACUGUAGUUAAUGUAGUACAAAUGAGUAAUCAGAAUUACUUUCACAUUUGAAGAAUUCUCACUUAGAUGUUUAACAUUGAAAUUGUUUUUUUUAAAGCAAAUGUAAGCAUAUUGGAUAAUUACUUUCAAAAAUAAGGUAGCAUUUUGUAUGAUUUAUCAAAAUGAGUACAUGAGUACAAUAAACCAACAGCAUGCAGCAAAGAUGAAACGAGCUCCUUUUGUUGGUGCCGUUGAGAGCGUGUGAUCAGAGCUCAAGUCUGUGACACUUGAAAAGAUAAGGUGUCAAUUCUGAAUCACAAAAUUAACAUCCCUGCCUGUAGUUAAAUGACGAAUAACUCUUUUUAGUUGUAUCUUUCUUGCAGUUAAACUGUCAAGCACAGAAAUCUGGAAAGUGUGUGAUUUGAGUGUCUUUUAAAAAGAUCCAUCCUUAAGUUCCAAUUUUCUCCUGGAAAGAGACAGAAAUCUGCAGUCUUCUAGAGAAAUUCAGUGUAGUGCUGUGUAUCUUCUAGAUCAUCCUGAGAUAUAUUCCAUACAAGAGUCGUACACUAAAGCAUCUUAAAUUUCAUAUAAUAUAAGUUGUUGAUGCAAUUCUUGAUAAUUUUCUAGAAGAUAUGCUGUAGGAUUUACUAACUUUAAAGAGGUCACAAUUAGAUUGAAUUAAAAUCAUUGAUUUUUUGGAGAAUAUACUGACUAAAGGUUUAAAAGCCAAAGUAUGGGAAACUUUGUAGCUAUAGUAGGCCUACUUUUGCAUGUCAUUUAAUCUAUUUUGCAACUUGGAGUUUGUAAUCUACUGGUAUGUUUAAACACUCUCGUCAGACAGAUAAAAAACACAUCUUGGAAGGGCAAAGUGUGUUUUCUGGUCUUAUUGCAGUCUUUUUAUAUUCUUCCACUUACCAGGGCCUAGAGAGAACAGUGUGUUGUCUGUGGUGUACAAUAAAAAGACAAGGGAUUAUAUUCAAACGAUACAACAAUGAAGUUUCCAGUUUUAUGUGAGCAACAAAUUGUUCAUGGUAAGGAUGGGUCAGCACCCAGAAUGCGUUACUCAGCAGCAGUAGGACUUCUGUCGUUGAGGAUUUCUGCAGUCAAACUGGAUAAGACCAAGGGUGACUUAACGUAACUUUAAAUUUAGCUUUGCUUUGAGCAGGGCUGUGGACUUGAUGAGGUUCCUGUGGUCACCUCAUCUUAAUUUUUUCUGAAACUCUGUUACAGAGCCUUCAUAAGUUAACUUUGCUUACUUCAUAGUGAACAAUGUAAUUGCCAUACAGGAUUAAAAAAAAAACAUUAAAACAGUUCUUUGUUAAUAAGCAGCAACCAAAGUUUCUUAGAAGGAUGUGAGAAGCACCCCUGCAGGCAGCCACGGGCUUAAAAGCCAUGUGCUUUGAAGGUAUUAAGCAUCUUUAUCUCUCCAAUAUAAAUUGCUUAAGUCUGCAGGCAUAAGACUCUCUUCUAAAUCACUAGCAUUGGACAUUUGUCUAAAUGUCCAGUCUCUUUAUGACUCCUGCUAAAGUACUGUCCUCAAUUGCUUCCUGUGCAUAACAGAGUUUAAUUACAUACUUUGUAAGAAGUAUUUCCUUUUGUCUGUUUAAGAUACUUCUAUCCACUUGUUUCUGAGAUGCAAUACAGGGAGACAGUAGUUUGUAAUCUGCCAUUUUUCUACUGUUCAUUAAUGUAUGCAAUUCUUUUUCUCAAUGAAAAAAAAAAACAACCAAAAACCCACCACUAAAAUAUCUCUUUUAAGCAUUUAUGUUGAGAAAUGCUUUUCAUUUGUCAGUAAUUUCUGUAACCCUCUUGAAAACUGUUAGUGUAACUUCACCUUUCAUAGUUGAUCAUCAAUCUGGUAUUUAGUAUUCUAAGUGAAGCCCCAUCAUUUUUUUACCUUAAUGAAAUAAUAAUUUUGUUUGUAUUAUUCUGCAUCUCAUUCUUUGUAUAACCUCAUGUUAUGGGAUAUGGCUGUCUAACGUCAACGAAGUCCAGCUUAUAGCAAAAGAGGAUAUUUCAUACUUCUCAUCCCUGUUCACCUAUGCAAUGGCAUUAACUGAGAGACAAGUUGGAUGGAAUGACUGGAUGCUGGGUACACAGGACUCACCCAAGGCUGUGAGCUUUGUCAGGAUGGUUUAGUGUUCGUUACCUCUGGAGAAAGCCUGCUGUCUGGAUCCUGGUGCUUCUUCCAAGGAUUUUGAUGUAGCACCACCUUGACCCUGAUGUCUUAUAUGAAGGGGUCCAAAACUGGAUGCAGCAUUUUCAACAUGGCCUAGAAAACAGGUUCUAGGACUUACAGAAGCUUUCCUGUUCUCAGCUGCCAGACUGACCUGAGGAUCUGAAUUUUUCUUGUAAAAGGGGAAUUUUCUGAGUAAGGUAGAAUUGAUUAUAUUGUUUUCUUCUGAAAGAACUACUGAAGUACUGAUAUAUUGCUGUGCACACUUUUCUAAUGUUUUCUGUAGCAGAAAGUAACUUCCUUUUAAGAAACAGUCCCUCAGCUUAAGAAAG
Long non-coding RNA from Tympanuchus pallidicinctus (lesser prairie-chicken), 2680 nucleotides. RefSeq lists it as uncharacterized. The transcript has 4 exons. The record is from RefSeq and is a predicted model, not a curated record. NCBI's taxonomy places the organism in Eukaryota, Metazoa, Chordata, Aves, Galliformes, Phasianidae.